RNAcentral lists this ribosomal RNA (373 nucleotides) under uncultured organism. RNAcentral's name for it is "partial 16S ribosomal RNA". It matches the Rfam family "Bacterial small subunit ribosomal RNA", at positions 527 to 896 of the family's 1533-position model. The record is from RNAcentral.
GUAGGUGGCAAGCGUUGUCCGGAAUUAUUGGGCGUAAAGCGCGCGCAGGCGGUUCUUUAAGUCUGAUGUGAAAGCCCACGGCUCAACCGUGGAGGGUCAUUGGAAACUGGAGAACUUGAGUACAGAAGAGGAAAGCGGAAUUCCACGUGUAGCGGUGAAAUGCGUAGAGAUGUGGAGGAACACCAGUGGCGAAGGCGGCUUUCUGGUCUGUAACUGACGCUGAGGCGCGAAAGCGUGGGGAGCAAACAGGGAUUAGAUACCCUGGUAGUCCACGCCGUAAACGAUGAGUGCUAAGUGUUAGGGGGUUUCCCGCCCCUUAGUGCUGCAGCCAACGCAUUAAGCACUCCGCCUGGGGAGUACGGCCGCAAGGCUG